AUCUUUGCGCUUGGGGCAAUGAUGCAGCUAGUGAGGUUCUAACCGAGGCGCGUCUAUUGCUGGUUGAAAACUAUUUCCAAACCCCCUCUUCAACCUGAGCUUGACUCGGGUGGUCGAGAAUUUCUGGAAGGGUGCCCUAUUUUGGGUAUCGCC
Salvia splendens (bonfire salvia) is the source of this 153-nucleotide small nuclear RNA. RefSeq annotates it as U4 spliceosomal RNA. The transcript has a single exon. The record is from RefSeq and is a predicted model, not a curated record. Lineage: Eukaryota; Viridiplantae; Streptophyta; Magnoliopsida; Lamiales; Lamiaceae.